RNAcentral lists this ribosomal RNA (492 nucleotides) under uncultured bacterium. RNAcentral describes it as "partial 16S ribosomal RNA". It matches the Rfam family "Bacterial small subunit ribosomal RNA", at positions 29 to 507 of the family's 1533-position model. The record is from RNAcentral.
AGUGAACGCUGGCGGUAGGCCUAACACAUGCAAGUCGAACGGCAGCACAGUAAGAGCUUGCUCUUACGGGUGGCGAGUGGCGGACGGGUGAGGAAUACAUCGGAAUCUACUUUUUCGUGGAGGAUAACGUAGGGAAACUUACGCUAAUACCGCAUACGACCUACGGGUGAAAGCAGGGGAUCUUCGGACCUUGCGCGAUUGAAUGAGCCGAUGUCGGAUUAGCUAGUUGGCGGGGUAAAGGCCCACCAAGGCGACGAUCCGUAGCUGGUCUGAGAGGAUGAUCAGCCACGCUGGAACUGAGACACGGUCCAGACUCCUACGGGAGGCAGCAGUGGGGAAUAUUGGACAAUGGGCGCAAGCCUGAUCCAGCCAUACCGCGUGGGUGAAGAAGGCCUUCGGGUUGUAAAGCCCUUUUGUUGGGAAAGAAAAGCAGCAGGUUAAUACCCCGCUGUUCUGACGGUACCCAAAGAAUAAGCACCGGCUAACUUCGUG